Molecule: ribosomal RNA, 440 nt
Filed under: uncultured bacterium
Lineage: Bacteria
Description: partial 16S ribosomal RNA
Rfam family: Bacterial small subunit ribosomal RNA
Source: RNAcentral
CCUACGGGGCGCAGCAGUAGGGAAUAUUGCUCAAUGGGGGAAACCCUGAAGCAGCAACGCCGCGUGAAGGAUGAUGGUUUUAGGAUUGUAAACUCCUUUUGUGAGAGAAGAUAAUGACGGUAUCUCACGAAUAAGCACCUGCUAACUCCGUGCCAGCAGCCGCGGUAAUACGGAGGGUGCAAGCGUUACUAGGAAUCACUGGGCGUAAGGAGUGCGCAUGCGGGCUUGUAAGUCAGAUGUGAAAUCCUGUAGCUGAAGUACAGAACUGCAUUUGGAACUAUGAGUCUAGAGUGCGGGUGAGGUAGGUGGAAUUCUUGGUGUAGGGGUAAAAUCCGUAGAUAUCAAGCGGAAUACUCAUUGCGAAGGCGACCUACUGGAACAUUACUGACGCUCAUGCACGAAAGCGUGGGGAGCAAACAGGAUUAGAUACCCGGGUAGUC